UGGGGGAUAUUGCACAAUGGAGGAAACUCUGAUGCAGCGACGCCGCGUGAGUGAAGAAGUAUUUCGGUAUGUAAAGCUCUAUCAGCAGGGAAUAAAAAAAUGAAAGUACCUGACUAAGAAGCCCCGGCUAACUACGUGCCAGCAGCCGCGGUAAUACGUAGGGGGCAAGCGUUAUCCGGAUUUACUGGGUGUAAAGGGAGCGUAGGUGGUGCAGCAAGUCAGGAGUGAAAGCCCGGGGCCCAACCCCGGUAUUGCUUUUGAAACUACUGUGCUGGAGUGCAGGAAGGGUAAGCGGAAUUCCUAGUGUAGCGGUGAAAUGCGUAGAUAUUAGGAAGAACACCGGUGGCGAAGGCGGCUUACUGGACUGUAACUGACACUGAGGCUCGAAAGCGUGGGUAGC
This 400-nucleotide ribosomal RNA is filed under the name uncultured bacterium. RNAcentral describes it as "bacterial SSU rRNA". It matches the Rfam family "Bacterial small subunit ribosomal RNA", at positions 355 to 769 of the family's 1533-position model. The record is from RNAcentral.